CAGGCUUAACACAUGCAAGUCGAGGGGCAUCAGGAAGAAAGCUUGCUUUCUUUGCUGGCGACCGGCGCACGGGUGAGUAACACGUAUCCAACCUGCCCUUUACUCGGGGAUAGCCUUUCGAAAGAAAGAUUAAUACCCGAUGGCAUAAUGAUUCCGCAUGGUUUCAUUAUUAAAGGAUUCCGGUAAAGGAUGGGGAUGCGUUCCAUUAGGUUGUUGGUGAGGUAACGGCCCACCAAGCCUUCGAUGGAUAGGGGUUCUGAGAGGAAGGUCCCCCACAUUGGAACUGAGACACGGUCCAAACUCCUACGGGAGGCAGCAGUGAGGAAUAUUGGUCAAUGGGCGGUAGCCUGAACCAGCCAAGUAGCGUGAAGGAUGAAGGCUCUAUGGGUCGUAAACUUCUUUUAUAUAAGAAUAAAGUGCAGUAUGUAUACUGUUUUGUAUGUAUUAUAUGAAUAAGGAUCGGCUAACUCCGUGCCAGCAGCCGCGGUAAUACGGAGGAUCCGAGCGUUAUCCGGAUUUAUUGGGUUUAAAGGGAGCGUAGGUGGACUGGUAAGUCAGUUGUGAAAGUUUGCGGCUCAACCGUAAAAUUGCAGUUGAUACUGUCAGUCUUGAGUACAGUAGAGGUGGGCGGAAUUCGUGGUGUAGCGGUGAAAUGCUUAGAUAUCACGAAGAACUCCGAUUGCGAAGGCAGCUCACUGGACUGCAACUGACACUGAUGCUCGAAAGUGUGGGUAUCAAACAGGAUUAGAUACCCUGGUAGUCCACACAGUAAACGAUGAAUACUCGCUGUUUGCGAUAUACAGUAAGCGGCCAAGCGAAAGCAUUAAGUAUUCCACCUGGGGAGUACGCCGGCAACGGUGAAACUCAAAGGAAUUGACGGGGGCCCGCACAAGCGGAGGAACAUGUGGUUUAAUUCGAUGAUACGCGAGGAACCUUACCCGGGCUUAAAUUGCAGUGGAAUGAUGUGGAAACAUGUCAGUGAGCAAUCACCGCUGUGAAGGUGCUGCAUGGUUGUCGUCAGCUCGUGCCGUGAGGUGUCGGCUUAAGUGCCAUAACGAGCGCAACCCUUAUCUUCAGUUACUAACAGGUCAUGCUGAGGACUCUGGAGAGACUGCCGUCGUAAGAUGUGAGGAAGGUGGGGAUGACGUCAAAUCAGCACGGCCCUUACGUCCGGGGCUACACACGUGUUACAAUGGGGGGUACAGAAGGCAGCUAGCGGGUGACCGUAUGCUAAUCCCAAAAGCCUCUCUCAGUUCGGAUCGAAGUCUGCAACCCGACUUCGUGAAGCUGGAUUCGCUAGUAGUCGCGCAUCAGCCACGGCGCGGUGAAUACGUUCCCGGGCCUUGUACACACCGCCCGUCAAGCCAUGGGAGCCGGGGGUACCUGAAGUACGUAACCGCAAGGAUCGUCCUAGGGUAAAACUGGUGACUGGG
RNAcentral lists this ribosomal RNA (1433 nucleotides) under uncultured organism. Its description in RNAcentral is "16S ribosomal RNA". It matches the Rfam family "Bacterial small subunit ribosomal RNA". The record is from RNAcentral.